This 274-nucleotide ribosomal RNA is filed under the name uncultured bacterium. RNAcentral's name for it is "partial 16S ribosomal RNA". It matches the Rfam family "Bacterial small subunit ribosomal RNA", at positions 523 to 796 of the family's 1533-position model. The record is from RNAcentral.
AUACGGAGGGUGCAAGCGUUGUUCGGAAUCACUGGGCGUAAAUGGCGCGCAGGCGGUUUGGUAAGUCAGAUGUGAAAGCCCACGGCUCAACCGUGGAAGUGCAUUUGAAACUGUCAGACUUGAGUACUAGAGGGGAAAGUGGAAUUCCCGGUGUAGAGGUGAAAUUCGUAGAUAUCGGGAGGAAUACCGGUGGCGAAGGCGACUUUCUGGCUAGAUACUGACGCUGAGGCGCGAAAGUGUGGGGAGCAAACAGGAUUAGAAACCCCUGUAGUCC